This 446-nucleotide ribosomal RNA is filed under the name uncultured bacterium. Its description in RNAcentral is "partial 16S ribosomal RNA". It matches the Rfam family "Bacterial small subunit ribosomal RNA", at positions 338 to 795 of the family's 1533-position model. The record is from RNAcentral.
CCUACGGGGGGCAGCAGUGGGGGAUAUUGCACAAUGGGGGAAACCCUGAUGCAGCGACGCCGCGUGUGGGAAGACGGUCCUCUGGAUUGUAAACCACUGUCAUGUGGGAGCAAAUUAAAAAGAUAGUACCACAAGAGGAAGAGACGGCUAACUCUGUGCCAGCAGCCGCGGUAAUACAGAGGUCUCAAGCGUUGUUCGGAAUCACUGGGAGUAAAGCGUGCGUAGGCUGUUUCGUAAGUCGUGUGUGAAAGGCGCGGGCUCAACCCGCGGACGGCACAUGAUACUGCGAGACUAGAGUAAUGGAGGGGGAACCGGAAUUCUCGGUGUAGCAGUGAAAUGCGUAGAUAUCGAGAGGAACACUCGUGGCGAAGGCGGGUUCCUGGACAUUAACUGACGCUGAGGCACGAAGGCCAGGGGAGCGAAAGGGAUUAGAUACCCCAGUAGUC